This 584-nucleotide ribosomal RNA is filed under the name Lacticaseibacillus rhamnosus. RNAcentral's name for it is "bacterial SSU rRNA". It matches the Rfam family "Bacterial small subunit ribosomal RNA", at positions 371 to 946 of the family's 1533-position model. Lineage: Bacteria; Bacillati; Bacillota; Bacilli; Lactobacillales; Lactobacillaceae. The record is from RNAcentral.
AUGGACGCAAGUCUGAUGGAGCAACGCCGCGUGAGUGAAGAAGGCUUUCGGGUCGUAAAACUCUGUUGUUGGAGAAGAAUGGUCGGCAGAGUAACUGUUGUCGGCGUGACGGUAUCCAACCAGAAAGCCACGGCUAACUACGUGCCAGCAGCCGCGGUAAUACGUAGGUGGCAAGCGUUAUCCGGAUUUAUUGGGCGUAAGGCGAGCGCAGGCGGUUUUUUAAGUCUGAUGUGAAAGCCCUCGGCUUAACCGAGGAAGUGCAUCGGAAACUGGGAAACUUGAGUGCAGAAGAGGACAGUGGAACUCCAUGUGUAGCGGUGAAAUGCGUAGAUAUAUGGAAGAACACCAGUGGCGAAGGCGGCUGUCUGGUCUGUAACUGACGCUGAGGCUCGAAAGCAUGGGUAGUGAACAGGAUUAGAUACCCUGGUAGUCCAUGCCGUAAACGAUGAAUGCUAGGUGUUGGAGGGUUUCCGCCCUUCAGUGCCGCAGCUAACGCAUUAAGCAUUCCGCCUGGGGAGUACGACCGCAAGGUUGAAACUCAAAGGAAUUGACGGGGGCCCGCACAAGCGGUGGAGCAUGUGGUU